RNAcentral lists this ribosomal RNA (908 nucleotides) under Ctenophora environmental sample. Its description in RNAcentral is "partial Bacterial large subunit ribosomal RNA". It matches the Rfam family "Bacterial large subunit ribosomal RNA", at positions 666 to 1677 of the family's 2925-position model. The record is from RNAcentral. Lineage: Eukaryota; Metazoa; Ctenophora.
GCGCAGCGAAAGCGAGUCUUAAUAGGGCGUUGAGUUAGAUGGAUCAGACCCGAAACCGAGUGAUCUAGGCAUGGCCAGGUUGAAGGUAAGGUAACACUUACUGGAGGACCGAACCCACAUCCGUUGAAAAGGAUCGGGAUGAGCUGUGCCUAGGGGUGAAAGGCCAAUCAAACUCGGAGAUAGCUGGUUCUCUGCGAAAUCUAUUUAGGUAGAGCGUCAUCCGAAUACCCUCGGGGGUAGAGCACUGGAUGGGCUAGGGGGUCCCAACGACUUACCAAACCUAACCAAACUCCGAAUACCGAGGAGUACUAGAUGGCAGACACACUGCGGGUGCUAAGGUCCGUAGUGGAGAGGGAAACAGCCCUGACCACCAGCUAAGGUCCCUAAGUUAUCACUAAGUGGGAAACGAUGUGGGAGUGCUUAGACAACCAGGAGGUUGGCUUAGAAGCAGCCAUCCUUUAAAGAAAGCGUAACAGCUCACUGGUCAAGCGCUCCUGCGCGGAAAAUGUAACGGGGCUUAAGUGAUACACCGAAGCUGUGGAUUCAAUCUUAUGAUUGAGUGGUAGCGGAGCGUUCCGUAGGCCGAUGAAGGUGGACCCGCGAGGGCCGCUGGAGGUAUCGGAAGUGAGAAUGCUGACAUGAGUAGCGACAAAGAGGGUGAGAGACCCUCUCGCCGAAAGUCCAAGGUUUCCUGCGCAAUGCUAAUCAGCGCAGGGUUAGUCGGCCCCUAACGCGAGGCAGAAAUGCGUAGUGGAUGGGAAGCAGGUUAAUAUUCCUGCACCUGACGGGUAGUGACGGAUUCUGGAAGUUGUCAGUCCUUAUCGGAUUGAAUUGGCAGCCAAGGAGUCCCUGGAAAUAGCUCCCGCAUUUGACCGUACCCCAAACCGACACAGGUGGACUGGUAGAGC